CAAGAAAGAGGCUUGCAGCCUCUGUGGCCAAGGUACGACAGGAACUGGAUGAAAAAAUCACUAAGGAACUGAAAGAAGCCACUGCUGAACUUGAAACUGGAUGUGCUGGAUCUUCAAAAAACCUUCAUGUGGAUCAGGAUCC
Molecule: non-coding RNA, 142 nt
Organism: Pseudopodoces humilis (Tibetan ground-tit)
Lineage: Eukaryota; Metazoa; Chordata; Aves; Passeriformes; Paridae
Source: RefSeq, a predicted model, not a curated record